Molecule: transfer RNA, 67 nt
Filed under: Gehyra sp. MPH-2011
Lineage: Eukaryota; Metazoa; Chordata; Lepidosauria; Squamata; Gekkonidae
Description: tRNA-Trp
Source: RNAcentral
AGAAACUUAGGUUAAAACAAACCAGAGGCCUUCAAAGCCCCAAAUAAGAGUACACUCUUAGCUUCUG